RNAcentral lists this ribosomal RNA (328 nucleotides) under uncultured eukaryote. RNAcentral's name for it is "partial 18S ribosomal RNA". It matches the Rfam family "Eukaryotic small subunit ribosomal RNA", at positions 1470 to 1796 of the family's 1831-position model. The record is from RNAcentral.
CCCUUAGAUGUCCGGGGCUGCACGCGCGCUACACUGAAGGAAUCAGCGUGCUAAAACCAUUGUCGAAAGGCAUUGGUAAACCCAUUAAAAUCCUACGUGAUUGGGAUCGGGAAUUGCAAUUAUUUCCCUUGAACGAGGAAUUCCCAGUAAGUGUGGGUCAUAAGCUCGCGUUGAUUACGUCCCUGCCUUUUGUACACACCGCCCGUCGCUGCCCGGGACUGAGCCGUUUCGAGAAAAGCGGGGACUGCUGCUGUCGGGGCUUUCGGGCCUUGGCUUCGGUGGAAACCGCUUUAAUCGCAGUGGCUUGAACCGGGCAAAAGUCGUAACA